AGUGAUCCGGUGGUUCUGAAUGGAAGGGCCAUCGCUCAACGGAUAAAAGGUACUCCGGGGAUAACAGGCUGAUACCGCCCAAGAGUUCAUAUCGACGGCGGUGUUUGGCACCUCGAUGUCGGCUCAUCACAUCCUGGGGCUGAAGUAGGUCCCAAGGGUAUGGCUGUUCGCCAUUUAAAGUGGUACGCGAGCUGGGUUUAGAACGUCGUGAGACAGUUCGGUCCCUAUCUGCCGUGGGCGCUGGAGAAUUGAGGGGGGCUGCUCCUAGUACGAGAGGACCGGAGUGGACGCAUCACUGGUGUUCGGGUUGUCAUGCCAAUGGCAUUGCCCGGUAGCUAAAUGCGGAAGAGAUAAGUGCUGAAAGCAUCUAAGCACGAAACUUGCC
RNAcentral lists this ribosomal RNA (385 nucleotides) under Citrobacter freundii. RNAcentral describes it as "partial 23S ribosomal RNA". It matches the Rfam family "Bacterial large subunit ribosomal RNA", at positions 2414 to 2798 of the family's 2925-position model. The record is from RNAcentral. Lineage: Bacteria; Pseudomonadati; Pseudomonadota; Gammaproteobacteria; Enterobacterales; Enterobacteriaceae.